RNAcentral lists this ribosomal RNA (376 nucleotides) under uncultured bacterium. Its description in RNAcentral is "bacterial SSU rRNA". It matches the Rfam family "Bacterial small subunit ribosomal RNA", at positions 524 to 898 of the family's 1533-position model. The record is from RNAcentral.
UACAGAGGUGGCAAGCGUUGUUCGGAUUUAUUGGGCGUAAAGGGUCCGUAGGCGGCCUUGAAAGUCGGAUGUGAAAUCCCACAGCUUAACUGUGGAACUGCAUUCGAAACUUCAAAGCUCGAGUGUGAGAGGGGCAAAGGGAAUUCCCGGUGUAAGAGUGAAAUCUGUAGAGAUCGGGAGGAACACCAGUCGCGUAGGCGCUUUGCUGGCUCACUACUGACGCUGAGGGGCGAAAGCCAGGGGAGCAAACGGGAUUAGAUACCCCGGUAGUCCUGGCCGUAAACGAUGGACACUAGGUGUUGGGAGGGUUAAACCUUUCGGUGCCGAAGCUCACGCAUUAAGUGUCCCGCCUGGGGAGUACGGUCGCAAGGCUGAA